CUCGAGGCCAGAUCUUUCCGGUUGAUCCUGCCGGACCUGACUGCUAUCGGAUUGAUACUAAGCCAUGCGAGUCAUUGUAGCAAUACAAGGCAGACGGCUCAGUAACGCGUAGUCAACCUACCCUAUGGACGGGAAUAAACUCGGGAAACUGAGUAUAAUGCCCGAUAGAACAUUAUGCCUGGAAUGGUUUAUGUUCCAAAUGAUCCAUCGCCGUAGGAUGGGACUGCGGCCUAUCAGUUUGUUGGUGAGGUAAUGGCCCACCAAGACUAUUACAGGUACGGGCUCUGAGAGGAGUGGCCCGGAGAUGGGUACUGAGACACGGACCCAGGCCCUAUGGGGCGCAGCAGGCGAGAAAACUUUGCAAUGUGCGAAAGCACGACAAGGUUAAUCCGAGUGGUUUCUGCUAAAGGAACCUUUUGCCAGUCCUAGAAACACUGGUGAAUAAGGGGUGGGCAAGUUCUGGUGUCAGCCGCCGCGGUAAAACCAGCACCUCAAGUGGUCAGGAUGAUUGUUGGGCCUAAAGCAUCCGUAGCCGGCUCUGUAAGUUUUCGGUUAAA
RNAcentral lists this ribosomal RNA (557 nucleotides) under uncultured archaeon. RNAcentral describes it as "bacterial SSU rRNA". It matches the Rfam family "Archaeal small subunit ribosomal RNA", at positions 1 to 549 of the family's 1478-position model. The record is from RNAcentral.